This 253-nucleotide ribosomal RNA is filed under the name uncultured bacterium. RNAcentral's name for it is "partial 16S ribosomal RNA". It matches the Rfam family "Bacterial small subunit ribosomal RNA", at positions 524 to 776 of the family's 1533-position model. The record is from RNAcentral.
UACGGAGGGGGCUAGCGUUGUUCGGAAUUACUGGGCGUAAAGCGCACGUAGGCGGAUCAGAAAGUCAGAGGUGAAAUCCCAGGGCUCAACCUUGGAACUGCCUUUGAAACUCCUGGUCUUGAGGUCGAGAGAGGUGAGUGGAAUUCCGAGUGUAGAGGUGAAAUUCGUAGAUAUUCGGAGGAACACAAGUGGCGAAGGCGGCUCACUGGCUCGAUACUGACGCUGAGGUGCGAAAGCGUGGGGAGCAAACAGG